RNAcentral lists this ribosomal RNA (468 nucleotides) under uncultured bacterium. RNAcentral's name for it is "partial 16S ribosomal RNA". It matches the Rfam family "Bacterial small subunit ribosomal RNA", at positions 28 to 507 of the family's 1533-position model. The record is from RNAcentral.
GAUGAACGCUGGCGGCGUGCUUAACACAUGCAAGUCGAACGGAAAGGCCCGGCUCUUGCGGGGUGCUCGAGUGGCGAACGGGGGAGUGACACGCGUGUAACAUGUCCUUGACUGUGGGAUAACAUCAGGGAACACGGGCUAAUACCGGAUAGGAGCUCCUGAUGCAUGGGGGGCGUUGGAAAGUUUCGGCGGUUGGGGAUGGACUCGCGGCUUAUCAGCUGGUUGGUGGAGUAGUGGCGUCCCAAGUCUUUGACGGGUAGCCGGCCUUGGAGGGUGACCGGCGUCCUUGGUACUGAGGUACGGCCCAGACUCCUACCGGCGGCAGCAGUGGGGAAUAUUACGCAAUGGGCGGACGCCAGAUGCGACAGCGCCGCGUGCGGGAUGACGUCCUUCUGGUUGUAAACCACUUUCGCCUGUGCCGUGGCGUUCGUGACGGUAAUGAGUCAGGAAGCCCCGGCUAACUACGUG